Molecule: microRNA, 19 nt
Filed under: Drosophila pseudoobscura pseudoobscura
Lineage: Eukaryota; Metazoa; Arthropoda; Insecta; Diptera; Drosophilidae
Description: mir-2545a-1-RA
Source: RNAcentral
UUCUUCUACUGCGCGAGGG